RNAcentral lists this small RNA (718 nucleotides) under Pongo abelii (Sumatran orangutan). RNAcentral describes it as "retained intron". The record is from RNAcentral. Lineage: Eukaryota; Metazoa; Chordata; Mammalia; Primates; Hominidae.
AGGUGUGAGCCACGGUUCCUGGCCGAUUAACAUUCUUUUAAGCGGCUCCCCCACUUCUAAUCUUAGUUUCCAUCCCAAUUUGGGAAUUGUUCCUGCCUGGAGAUGAGGGAACCAUCAAUGGUCUUGUCUGAGAUGCAUGCCUUGGUGCACAACAAAUUCCUCUGCCAUCGCUUAGUCCUUCAAAGCUGACAAUGCUUUUGGAGGUAAAAGCUAAAUGGAAAUCUCUUUUUUUCCUCUUCCUUUCUCUUCUUAAUGUGCAUUUUGGGAGGCAGUAGGCAGGCACAGUUACUGUAUUGCUGAUUCACAAACUUGAGAGCAAGGGUUCCUACUGCUGGUUGUAUAGACCUUGCCAGCAGCUUGUUUUUAUCAAGGGACACUUUAACAAUCAUCAUUAAUAACGGAGCUAAUAUUUUUUCACUGAGCUAUUACACAGUGAUGGCUGGUAAACUCAGCCCCAUGCCCUGACCUAACCAAUCACCUUGCUUUCUAGAUACCAGAUCAAUUAGCAUGUUUAACAUUUAAGGUGAGAUGUCAGAUAAUUUUGAUGGCUGGGAGAUACAUACCUACCAACUCUACUUAAAUCUAUUCAUGAUAAGUGAUAUCAUAGAUAUAUUCGAUUUCUCAGCUUUAAAGAACUUUAGAGAUCAUGCAGUUUUACAUUAUUCCAUUCAAAUAAAAUGGAAGGAAACAACUUGGUACCCAGAUGGAGGGGUUCACC